AGAAGAUGCUGAACUUAAGGCAUACCAUACCAAAAACAGGCAUUUCAUUUCUCGCGAAGAUUGUUCAGAUAUUCUAGAUUGGAUCAGGAGAACCCAGGGGUCAACAGAAAGAACUUGUUCAUUCUCCUGAGUGAACCUCCUUUGCUCAUCAUGACCUCACAAAACUUCGGUUACAUGAUGACCAUUUCCUCACUGACCUUCAAGAGCAAAGGAUGCAAAUCUGUUUUUAAAGUUAUCACUUGAAGAAUGUAACUGAUAGUCAAAGCAAAUGCAGAUCCUUCUCCAAGAGACUCAACGUUCCAGAAACAAGACCAUUU
Eucalyptus grandis is the source of this 317-nucleotide long non-coding RNA. RefSeq lists it as uncharacterized. The transcript is spliced from 3 exons. NCBI's taxonomy places the organism in Eukaryota, Viridiplantae, Streptophyta, Magnoliopsida, Myrtales, Myrtaceae. The record is from RefSeq and is a predicted model, not a curated record.